RNAcentral lists this ribosomal RNA (404 nucleotides) under uncultured bacterium. RNAcentral's name for it is "partial 16S ribosomal RNA". It matches the Rfam family "Bacterial small subunit ribosomal RNA", at positions 28 to 526 of the family's 1533-position model. The record is from RNAcentral.
GACGAACGCUGGCGGCGUGCUUAACACAUGCAAGUCGAGCGGAGCGGCGAACGGGUGAGUAACGCGUGAGUAACUGCCCCCCUCUCUGGGAUAACAGUUGGAAACGGCUGCUAAUACCGCCUAAUCAGAUGAGCCUAGGUCGGAUUAGCUAGUUGGUGGGGUAAAGGCCUACCAAGGCGACGAUCCGUAACUGGUCGGAGAGGAUGAUCAGUCACCAUGGACUGAGACAAGGUCCAGACUCCUACGGGAGGCAGUAGUGGGGAAUAUUGCACAAUGGGGGAAACCCUGAUGCAGCAACGCCGCGUGCGGGAUGACGGCCUUCGGGUUGUAAACCGCGUUCAGCCAUGACGCGGUAGUGGCAGAAGAAGCACCGGCUAACUACGUGCCAGCAGCCGCGGUAAUAC